GGUGAGUAACACGUGGGAACGUACCUUUUGGUUCGGAACAACUCAGGGAAACUUGAGCUAAUACCGAAUGUGCCCUUAGGGGGAAAGAUUCAUCGCCAUUAGAGCGGCCCGCGUUAGAUUAGCUUGUUGGUGAGGUAAAGGCUCACCAAGGCUACGAUCUAUAGCUGGUCUGAGAGGAUGAUCAGCCACACUGGGACUGAGACACGGCCCAGACUCCUACGGGAGGCAGCAGUGGGGAAUCUUGCGCAAUGGGCGAAAGCCUGACGCAGCCAUGCCGCGUGAAUGAUGAAGGUCUUAGGAUUGUAAAAUUCUUUCAGUAGGGACGAUAAUGACAGUACCUACAGAAGAAGCCCCGGCUAACUUCGUGCCAGCAGCCGCGGUAAUACGAAGGGGGCUAGCGUUGCUCGGAAUUACUGGGCGUAAAGGG
This 427-nucleotide ribosomal RNA is filed under the name uncultured bacterium. RNAcentral describes it as "bacterial SSU rRNA". It matches the Rfam family "Bacterial small subunit ribosomal RNA", at positions 105 to 567 of the family's 1533-position model. The record is from RNAcentral.